GAAAUUCUUCACCGGAACACCACCGUCAAGAAAACUUGUAAAAAAACCUUCAAAUUUGAUUUCUCCAAUUCCAACACCACCAUAACCAGCUGCAAUUUUCCCAAAUUCUUUUUUGGAACAACCUGAAAUUGGUUUCCUCAAACCCAUGAUUCCCUUUCACGAUUUCUCUCCACUGGGUUUGUUAUCCGAUUUGAAUCACUUACCAAAAGUGAAAAUAUUCAUUUUUUUUAACUCUCCAGUUUAAUUCUUACUUGUCACCACCAAACCAACUAAAAUGUUUUAACAGAAGCGGACGCACGGCGAGGAUAUGGGGCGAAGCGUAAGUCUUGAGGCGUAAGCCCUAUAAAUUACACAACUGGCAGCCCCUACCCCACCCCCCAUCAACUCCUGUCAGCGACCCCAGGGGAGUACUAGGCAGUGGACGCACACCGGCAAACAGUAACUUUCGGCAGUGGCACUAGUAAUACUGCAGGAGUGAAGAGAAGGCGAUACAACAGAUGCACCUUGAUAUCUCCAGCUUUAAUCCAGGUGACAUUACCUCGGAGUUGGUACCUCCGGUUGCACGUUUGCUCGGUUCUGACUUUCUUUCUUGUAGUUAAUUAAUUGCUUUGUUUUUGUACUGACUAGUUUAUAGUCAUUUAUUUUAGAUACCUCAUUUUAGACGCCCUUUCUUGUUGUAGUGGUAGUGGUAGUGGUAGCUUAGUAACUCCUA
Molecule: long non-coding RNA, 712 nt
Organism: Lycium ferocissimum
Lineage: Eukaryota; Viridiplantae; Streptophyta; Magnoliopsida; Solanales; Solanaceae
Exons: 3
Source: RefSeq, a predicted model, not a curated record